Molecule: ribosomal RNA, 2966 nt
Filed under: Priestia megaterium
Lineage: Bacteria; Bacillati; Bacillota; Bacilli; Caryophanales; Bacillaceae
Description: Bacillus megaterium 23S ribosomal RNA
Rfam family: Bacterial large subunit ribosomal RNA
Source: RNAcentral
AACAUUAUGUUGUACCAUUUAUUCGCUAAUGGUUAAGUUAGAAAGGGCGCACGGUGAAUGCCUUGGCACUAGGAGCCGAUGAAGGACGGGACUAACACCGAUAUGCUUCGGGGAGCUGUAAGUGAGCUUUGAUCCGGAGAUUUCCGAAUGGGGAAACCCACUGUUCGUAAUGGAACAGUAUCUUUAUCUGAAUACAUAGGAUAUUGAAGGCAGACCCGGGGAACUGAAACAUCUAAGUACCCGGAGGAAGAGAAAGCAAAUGCGAUUUCCUGAGUAGCGGCGAGCGAAACGGAAUUAGCCCAAACCAAGAGGCUUGCCUCUUGGGGUUGUAGGACACUCUAUACGGAGUUACAAAGGAACGAAGUAAAUGAAGCGACCUGGAAAGGUCCGUCGAAGAAGGUAACAACCCUGUAGUUGAAACUUCGUUCCCUCUUGAGUGGAUCCUGAGUACGGCGGAACACGUGAAAUUCCGUCGGAAGCUGGGAGGACCAUCUCCCAAGGCUAAAUACUACCUAGUGACCGAUAGUGAACCAGUACCGUGAGGGAAAGGUGAAAAGCACCCCGGAAGGGGAGUGAAAGAGAUCCUGAAACCGUGUGCCUACAAGUAGUCAGAGCCCGUUAACGGGUGAUGGCGUGCCUUUUGUAGAAUGAACCGGCGAGUUACGAUCCCAUGCAAGGUUAAGCUGAUAAGGCGGAGCCGUAGCGAAAGCGAGUCUGAAUAGGGCGUUUAGUAUGUGGUUGUAGACCCGAAACCAGGUGAUCUACCCAUGUCCAGGGUGAAGUUCAGGUAACACUGAAUGGAGGCCCGAACCCACGCACGUUGAAAAGUGCGGGGAUGAGGUGUGGGUAGCGGAGAAAUUCCAAUCGAACCUGGAGAUAGCUGGUUCUCUCCGAAAUAGCUUUAGGGCUAGCCUCAUGUUGUGAGAGUCUUGGAGGUAGAGCACUGAUUGGACUAGGGGCCCCCAACGGGUUACCGAAUUCAGUCAAACUCCGAAUGCCAAAGACUUAUCCAUGGGAGUCAGACUGCGAGUGAUAAGAUCCGUAGUCAAAAGGGAAACAGCCCAGACCACCAGCUAAGGUCCCCAAGUAUACGUUAAGUGGAAAAGGAUGUGGAGUUGCUUAGACAACCAGGAUGUUGGCUUAGAAGCAGCCACCAUUUAAAGAGUGCGUAAUAGCUCACUGGUCGAGUGACUCUGCGCCGAAAAUGUACCGGGGCUAAACGUAUCACCGAAGCUGUGGAUUGACAUCUUAGAUGUCAGUGGUAGGAGAGCGUUCUAAGUGCUGUGAAGUCAGACCGUAAGGACUGGUGGAGCGCUUAGAAGUGAGAAUGCCGGUAUGAGUAGCGAAAGACAAGUGAGAAUCUUGUCCACCGAAUGCCUAAGGUUUCCUGAGGAAGGCUCGUCCGCUCAGGGUUAGUCGGGACCUAAGCCGAGGCUGAAAAGCGUAGGCGAUGGCCAACAGGUUGAUAUUCCUGUACCACCUCCCCGCCGUUUGAGUAAUGGGGGGACGCAGUAGGAUAGGGUAAGCGCGCUGCUGGAUAUGCGCGUUCAAGCAGUUAGGCUGAUGAGUAGGCAAAUCCGCUCAUCAUAAAGGCUGAGCUGUGAUGACGAGGGAAUUAUAGUACCGAAGUUCCUGAUUCCACACUGCCAAGAAAAGCCUCUAGCGAGGCGGGAGGUGCCCGUACCGCAAACCGACACAGGUAGGCGAGGAGAGAAUCCUAAGGUGAUCGAGAGAACUCUCGUUAAGGAACUCGGCAAAAUGACCCCGUAACUUCGGGAGAAGGGGUGCUCUGGUAGGGUGUAUAGCCCGAGAGAGCCGCAGUGAAUAGGCCCAGGCGACUGUUUAGCAAAAACACAGGUCUCUGCGAAGCCGCAAGGCGAAGUAUAGGGGCUGACGCCUGCCCGGUGCUGGAAGGUUAAGAGGAGGGGUUAUCCUUUGGGAGAAGCUCUGAAUCGAAGCCCCAGUAAACGGCGGCCGUAACUAUAACGGUCCUAAGGUAGCGAAAUUCCUUGUCGGGUAAGUUCCGACCCGCACGAAAGGCGUAACGAUCUGGGCACUGUCUCAACGAGAGACUCGGUGAAAUUAUAGUACCUGUGAAGAUGCAGGUUACCCGCGACAGGACGGAAAGACCCCGUGGAGCUUUACUGUAGCCUGAUAUUGAAUUUUGGUACAGCUUGUACAGGAUAGGUAGGAGCCUGAGAAGCCGGAGCGCUAGCUUCGGUGGAGGCGUCGGUGGGAUACUACCCUGGCUGUAUUGAAAUUCUAACCCGCGGCCCUGAUCGGGCCGGGAGACAGUGUCAGGUGGGCAGUUUGACUGGGGCGGUCGCCUCCUAAAAUGUAACGGAGGCGCCCAAAGGUUCCCUCAGAAUGGUUGGAAAUCAUUCGUAGAGUGUAAAGGCACAAGGGAGCUUGACUGCGAGACCUACAAGUCGAGCAGGGACGAAAGUCGGGCUUAGUGAUCCGGUGGUUCCGCAUGGAAGGGCCAUCGCUCAACGGAUAAAAGCUACCCCGGGGAUAACAGGCUUAUCUCCCCCAAGAGUCCACAUCGACGGGGAGGUUUGGCACCUCGAUGUCGGCUCAUCGCAUCCUGGGGCUGUAGUCGGUCCCAAGGGUUGGGCUGUUCGCCCAUUAAAGCGGUACGCGAGCUGGGUUCAGAACGUCGUGAGACAGUUCGGUCCCUAUCCGUCGUGGGCGUAGGAAAUUUGAGAGGAGCUGUCCUUAGUACGAGAGGACCGGGAUGGACACACCGCUGGUGUACCAGUUGUCUUGCCAAAGGCAUCGCUGGGUAGCUAUGUGUGGACGGGAUAAGUGCUGAAAGCAUCUAAGCAUGAAGCCCCCCUCAAGAUGAGAUUUCCCAUAGCGCAAGCUAGUAAGAUCCCUGAAAGAUGAUCAGGUUGAUAGGUCAGAGGUGGAAGCGUGGCGACAUGUGUAGCUGACUGAUACUAAUCGAUCGAGGACUUAACCAA